RNAcentral lists this ribosomal RNA (253 nucleotides) under uncultured bacterium. Its description in RNAcentral is "partial 16S ribosomal RNA". It matches the Rfam family "Bacterial small subunit ribosomal RNA", at positions 524 to 776 of the family's 1533-position model. The record is from RNAcentral.
GACGAAGGAUGCAAGCGUUAUCCGGAUUCAUUGGGUUUAAAGGGAGCGUAGGUGGCCUUAUAAGUCAGUGGUGAAAUCUCUCGGCUUAACCGAGAAAUUGCCAUUGAUACUGUAGGGCUUGAGUACAGUUGCUGUGGGCGGAAUAUGACAUGUAGUGGUGAAAUACAUAGAGAUGUCAUAGAACACCGAUUGCGAAGGCAGCUCGCUGGGACGUGACUGACGCUGAGACGCGAAAGCGUGGGGAGCAAACAGG